UUACAGAACACUACAAGUAACGGCUCCAUCCACAAUAAACAGGGCUUGGCUCUGCUGGCCUGUGCAGCUGCCCCAGAAGAGCCACAGAGCAAAGGGAAGGAUGGAAUUGCAAAACAGAAUUUGAGUUUCCAGCUGUUACCAAAGAAUCCUGGCCAGCUCUCCAGCUUGGCCAAAGCAGCAACUGGCUCUGAACCCUGGGAUCCCAGAAACUGCCCUGCACCUCUGCAGUACAUCCCUACCCAGGUCAUGGAUUUAGUGCCUGUGAAAAGAUCAAACCUACAGUGAAUCCACAGCAGUUUGUGACUCUGUCACGUCCUGCUCCUUUUGCCUUCUCCAGGUUUUAUUCCAACCUGUGCUCUGGCUCACUGCAAAUACACCAGGCUACGCUUGAGACUUCUUGGUUGUUGCUGGUUGCUUUUCUUCUUUUCUUCUUCCCUUUUUUUUUUUUUUUUCUUUCUCCCCUGCUAAUCCAGUCACCUCCCUUGAAGUGGCCAAGGUUGUUCUUCCUGCCAAGGGAAUGAGGGCACACAGAGCCUUCUGUCCACAGAGCACUUGCCUUGGCCCAGGCACAAAUGGGAGCUUUUCUUUCCUCCUGCUCAGAAGGCACCAAUAAUGAGGUGUUUGGCCAUGGAAAGCGGAAUUGCUUCAGCCUCAGUAAGAAGGACUCAGUGUUUGCAGGCUCAGCAUCAUUUCCCACAGCACACUGUUGCUCUUGAAUUGCACACCAGAACCUGGCAAGGAAAGAGGAGGAGAGAGGGGGAAUCCUUCACCCUGAUGAGUCAAAACCCCAUCCUGCCUCCUGGAGUGCUUCUCAUUCUGUCAGUGGUCUAUGUUAGUUCUUGUUCAGAAGUUGGUCCUGGAAGUCUGAGAGAGUGGGGAAGAAAUCCUCUCCAGCUGUUUGUGGCAGAGUGGGAUAGGAGGGCGAUGUCUCCUGCCACUCUGCUGCCUUUCUCUCUGAGUUUUUAAGGUUCAUAACUCCUGUGAAGCUUUCUGCUUGAACCAUGCUUUACCAGGAUGACCCAAAAAUAUAGGAUUUGAGAUCUUCUGAAAAUCCCAUUUGUGUUCUACCUGUGCCAUGGGCAAACCAGAAUCCUCUACUGAACCUCUACCUCUGCUAUGGUUUAGCAGAGAGGCUGUGAGUGGCAAAAAUUAGUUGGGCCACAGAAAAAUAAGGAUUUGACCUGUACUGGGUGUGCUGCAGCGAGGCUCCCAUGAAUCUGGAAAAGAGAAAAUGAUGAAGAAAAGAAGAAAUUAUGGAAAAUGAGCACUUGGAGACCUGGAAACCACCAUGGCAUUGGUCUCUUGUCAUAAACCAGGUUCUUUUCUCUUAGACUGACUCCUGCUUCCUAGAGAGACCAGCAGGCAGAGGCUCCUGGCACAUAUCCAUGUCUGGGCACACAGAUUCUGUGUGAAGACAGCUGGAAGGCUGGGACAGAUGUAAAUGUCUGAUCUGCUCCGUGGUACAGGUUGCAGAGACUGCUCAGGGCAGGAGUCUCUCCAGUUCUCCAGCUGCAUGGGGGGGCUGGAG
This 1528-nucleotide long non-coding RNA is filed under the name Parus major (Great Tit). RNAcentral describes it as "lncRNA (ENSPMJG00000012205.1)". The record is from RNAcentral. Lineage: Eukaryota; Metazoa; Chordata; Aves; Passeriformes; Paridae.